AGUGAACGCUGGCGGUAGGCCUAACACAUGCAAGUCGAACGGCAGCACAGUAAGAGCUUGCUCUUACGGGUGGCGAGUGGCGGACGGGUGAGGAAUACAUCGGAAUCUACUUUUUCGUGGGGGAUAACGUAGGGAUACUUACGCUAAUACCGCAUACGACCUACGGGUGAAAGCAGGGGAUCUUCGGACCUUGCGCGAUUGAAUGAGCCGAUGUCGGAUUAGCUAGUUGGCGGGGUAAAGGCCCACCAAGGCGACGAUCCGUAGCUGGUCUGAGAGGAUGAUCAGCCACACUGGAACUGAGACACGGUCCAGACUCCUACGGGAGGCAGCAGUGGGGAAUAUUGGACAAUGGGCGCAAGCCUGAUCCAGCCAUACCGCGUGGGUGAAGAAGGCCUUCGGGUUGUAAAGCCCUUUUGUUGGGAAAGAAAAGCAGCAGGUUAAGACCCCGCUGUUCUGACGGUACCCAAAGAAUAAGCACCGGCUAACUUCGU
This 491-nucleotide ribosomal RNA is filed under the name uncultured bacterium. Its description in RNAcentral is "partial 16S ribosomal RNA". It matches the Rfam family "Bacterial small subunit ribosomal RNA", at positions 29 to 506 of the family's 1533-position model. The record is from RNAcentral.